This 227-nucleotide unclassified non-coding RNA is filed under the name plant metagenome. Its description in RNAcentral is "partial contains small subunit ribosomal RNA, internal transcribed spacer 1, and 5.8S ribosomal RNA". The record is from RNAcentral.
UUUCCGUAGGUGAACCUGCGGAAGGAUCAUUAAAGAAUUUGCCUCGUCCUCUCGAGGAUGGGUCCUCUUCUAAACCGUGUAUACAUACCUUUGUUGCUUUGGCGGGCCGCCGUCUCGGCGUUGGCUUCGGCUGACUGUGCCCGCCAGAGAACCCCAACUCUUCUGUUUAGUAUUGUCUGAGUACUAUAUAAUAGUUAAAACUUUCAACAACGGAUCUCUUGGUUCUG